This 116-nucleotide ribosomal RNA is filed under the name Formicococcus macarangae. RNAcentral describes it as "partial 16S ribosomal RNA". Lineage: Eukaryota; Metazoa; Arthropoda; Insecta; Hemiptera; Pseudococcidae. The record is from RNAcentral.
AAUUUAUUAAAAGUUGAACAAACUUACUAAAAUAUAUUUUAUUUUAAUUAGUUAAAUUAAUUCAACAUCGAGGUAAUAAUCUAAAUUUUUAAUUUAAUCUAUCAAAUUUAAUUAUC